RNAcentral lists this unclassified non-coding RNA (297 nucleotides) under uncultured Thelebolales. RNAcentral describes it as "sequence contains ITS1". The stretch from base 1 to 105 matches the Rfam family "5.8S ribosomal RNA", at positions 50 to 154 of the family's 154-position model. The record is from RNAcentral. Lineage: Eukaryota; Fungi; Ascomycota; Leotiomycetes; Thelebolales.
GAAAUGCGAUACGUAAUGUGAAUUGCAGAAUUCCGUGAAUCAUCGAAUCUUUGAACGCACAUUGCGCCCCCUGGUACUCCGGGGGGCAUGCCUGUUCGAGCGUCAUUUCAACCCUCAAGCUCUGCUUGGUGUUGGGCCGCGCCGGUUCGCCGGCGGGUCUCAAAAUCAGUGGCGGCGCCAUCUGGCUCCACGCGUAGUAGUUUUCUCUCGCGUCCGGACGCUCGGUGGUGGCUAGCCAGCAACCCCCCAUUUUCACAGGUUGACCUCGGAUCAGGUAGGGAUACCCGCUGAACUUAA